GUUUUUGUAGUUGAACUACAACGGUGGUUUUUCAUAUCACUGGUCAUGGUUGAAAUCCAUGCAAGAAUU
RNAcentral lists this transfer RNA (69 nucleotides) under Ochotona thibetana (Moupin pika). RNAcentral's name for it is "tRNA-Glu". It matches the Rfam family "tRNA". Rfam says of the family: Transfer RNA (tRNA) molecules are approximately 80 nucleotides in length. Their secondary structure includes four short double-helical elements and three loops (D, anti-codon, and T loops). Lineage: Eukaryota; Metazoa; Chordata; Mammalia; Lagomorpha; Ochotonidae. The record is from RNAcentral.